RNAcentral lists this ribosomal RNA (446 nucleotides) under uncultured bacterium. Its description in RNAcentral is "partial 16S ribosomal RNA". It matches the Rfam family "Bacterial small subunit ribosomal RNA", at positions 338 to 795 of the family's 1533-position model. The record is from RNAcentral.
CCUACGGGUGGCAGCAGUCGAGAAUCAUUCACAAUGGGGGAAACCCUGAUGGUGCGACGCCGCGUGGGGGAAUGAAGUUCUUCGGAUUGUAAACCCCUGUCAUGUGGGAGCAAAUUAAAAAGAUAGUACCACAAGAGGAAGAGACGGCUAACUCUGUGCCAGCAGCCGCGGUAAUACAGAGGUCCCAAGCGUUGUUCGGAAUCACUGGGCGUAAAGCGUGCGUAGGGUGUUUCGUAAGGCGUGUGUGAAAGGCGCGGGCUCAACCCGCGGACGGCACAUGAUACUGCGAGACUAGAGUAAGGGAGGGGGAAGCGGAAUGCUCGGUGUAGCAGUGAAAUGCGUAGAUAUCGAGAGGAACACUCGUGGCGAAGGCGGGUUCCUGGACAUUAACUGACGCUGAGGCACGAAGGCCAGGGGAGCGAAAGGGAUUAGAUACCCGAGUAGUC